GGGUUUAUUUAUUUCCAGAUAAUAUGAAUGGAAAUCAAAAAAAAUGAGCCUGUCGACAUCAAACAGGCUCCAUAGUACACAGCAGUGCGUCCGGGGCUUAUUUCCUGUACUAUUUCCUGUGUGCCAGGUUGACUAAGGUAUAGCAACGAAAAAUUAAAAUGAAUAAUUAAUUUGAGUGAUUAAAUUCA
Molecule: small RNA, 188 nt
Filed under: Atlantibacter sp. RC6
Lineage: Bacteria; Pseudomonadati; Pseudomonadota; Gammaproteobacteria; Enterobacterales; Enterobacteriaceae
Source: RNAcentral